RNAcentral lists this ribosomal RNA (408 nucleotides) under uncultured bacterium. RNAcentral's name for it is "bacterial SSU rRNA". It matches the Rfam family "Bacterial small subunit ribosomal RNA", at positions 355 to 775 of the family's 1533-position model. The record is from RNAcentral.
UGGGGAAUCUUGCACAAUGGGCGAAAGCCUGAUGCAGCGACGCCGCGUGCGGGAUGACGGCCUUCGGGUUGUAAACCGCUUUCAGCAGGGACGAAGCGGAAGUGACGGUACCUGCAGAAGAAGCCCCGGCCAACUACGUGCCAGCAGCCGCGGUAAUACGUAGGGGGCGAGCGUUGUCCGGAUUUAUUGGGCGUAAAGCGCGCGUAGGCGGCUGUUCAAGUCGGUAGUGAAAACUCAACGCUCAACGUUGGGCUUGCUGUCGAGACUGGGCGGCUGGAGUCUGGUAGGGGGGUCUGGAAUUCCUGGUGUAGCGGUGGAAUGCGCAGAUAUCAGGAGGAACACCGGUGGCGAAGGCGGGACCCUGGGCCAGUACUGACGCUGAUGCGCGAAAGCGUGGGGAGCAAACAG